This 459-nucleotide ribosomal RNA is filed under the name uncultured bacterium. RNAcentral describes it as "partial 16S ribosomal RNA". It matches the Rfam family "Bacterial small subunit ribosomal RNA", at positions 338 to 795 of the family's 1533-position model. The record is from RNAcentral.
CCUACGGGUGGCAGCAGUGAGGAAUAUUGGUCAAUGGGCGGGAGCCUGAACCAGCCAAGCCGCGUGAGGGAAGAAGGUACAGCGUAUCGUAAACCUCUUUUGUCAGGGAACAAAGGCGGGGACUAGUCCCCUGAUGAGGGUACCUUAAGAAAAAGCAUCGGCUAACUCCGUGCCAGCAGCCGCGGUAAUACGGAGGAUGCGAGCGUUAUCCGGAUUUCUUGGGUUUAAAGGGUGCGCAGGCGGCCUGUUAAGUCAGCGGUAAAAGCCCGGGGCUCAACCCCGGCGGGCCGGUGAAACUGGCGGGCGGGAGGGGGAGAGAAGUACGCGGAAUGCGCGGUGUAGCGGUGAAAUGCUUAGAGAUCGCGCAGAACCCCGAUUGCGAAGGCAGCGUACCGGCUCCACACUGACGCUGAGGCACGAAAGCGUGGGUAUCGAACAGGAUGAGAUACCCGAGUAGUC